This 497-nucleotide ribosomal RNA is filed under the name uncultured bacterium. Its description in RNAcentral is "partial 16S ribosomal RNA". It matches the Rfam family "Bacterial small subunit ribosomal RNA", at positions 28 to 507 of the family's 1533-position model. The record is from RNAcentral.
GAUGAACGCUGGCGGCGUGCCUAAUACAUGCAAGUCGAGCGAACAGACGAGGAGCUUGCUCCUCUGACGUUAGCGGCGGACGGGUGAGUAACACGUGUUUAACCUACCUAUAAGCCUGGGAUAAAUACGGGAAACCGGAGCUAAUACCGGAAAAUAUAUUGAAUCGCAUGGUUCAAUAGUGAAUGACGGUUUUGCUGUCACUUAUAGAUGGAUCCGCACCGCAUUAACUAGUUUGUAAGGUAACUGCUUACCAAGACAACGAUGCGUACCCGACCUGAGAGCUUUCUCGGCCACACUGGAACUGAGCCACAGUCCAUAAUCCUACGGGACGGCACAGUGGUGAAUCUUCCGUAAUGGCCGAACGCGUAACGGAGCAACGCCGCGUGAGUUAUGAAGAUCUUAUGAUCUUAAAUCUCUGUUAUUCGUGAUGUACAAAUGUGUAAGUAACUAUGCACGUCUUGACGGUACCUAAUCAGAAAGCCACGGCUAACUACGUG